Molecule: ribosomal RNA, 253 nt
Filed under: uncultured bacterium
Lineage: Bacteria
Description: partial 16S ribosomal RNA
Rfam family: Bacterial small subunit ribosomal RNA
Source: RNAcentral
UACGUAGGGUGCGAGCGUUGUCCGGAAUUACUGGGCGUAAAGAGCUCGUAGGUGGUUUGUCGCGUUGUUCGUGAAAACUCACAACUCAAUUGUGGGCGUGCGGGCGAUACGGGCAGACUGGAGUACUGCAGGGGAGACUGGAAUUCCAGGUGUAGCGGUGAAAUGCGUAGAUAUCUGGAGGAACACCGGUGGCGAAGGCGGCAUCCUGGACCGGUAUUGACGCUGAGGCGCGAAAGCUAGGGGAGCAAACGGG